AACAAACGCUGGCGGCGUGCCUAAUACAUGCAAGUCGAACGAGGAAAGCUUUCAGGUGAGUACUAGUGGCGCACGGGUGAGGAAUAUAUGGGUAAUCUGCCCUCGAGUUGGGGAUAACCAGUCGAAAGACUGGCUAAUACCGAAUAAGACCGCAGGAUCUGCGGAUCUAGGGGUUAAAGGUUUUUCGCUUGAGGAUGAGCCCAUACGGGAUUAGCUAGUUGGCGAGGUAAUGGCUCGCCAAGGCUACGAUCCCUAACUGGUCUGAGAGGAUGAUCAGCCACACUGGGACUGAGACACGGCCCAGACUCCUACGGGAGGCAGCAGUGGGGAAUAUUGGACAAUGGGCGAAAGCCUGAUCCAGCAAUGCCGCGUGAGUGAUGAAGGCCUUAGGGUUGUAAAGCUCUUUCGGGUGGGACGAUGAUGACGGUACCACCAGAAGAAGCCCCGGCUAACUUCGUGCCAGCCGCCGCCGUAA
Molecule: ribosomal RNA, 475 nt
Filed under: uncultured bacterium
Lineage: Bacteria
Description: partial 16S ribosomal RNA
Rfam family: Bacterial small subunit ribosomal RNA
Source: RNAcentral